AUUGAACGCUGGCGGCAGGCCUAACACAUGCAAGUCGAGCGGAGCGGCGGGCGGGUGAGUAAUGCCUAGGAAUCUGCCUGGUAGUGGGGGAUAACGUCCGGAAACGGGAGCCUAUACCGCAUACUUGCAGAUGAGCCUAGGGCGUAUUAGCUAGAUGGUGGGGUAAAGGCCUACCAAGGCGACGAUGCGGAGCUGGCCUGAGAGGAGGAUCAGUCACACUGGGACUGAGACACGGUCCAGACUCCUACGGGAGGCAGCAGUGGGGAAUAUUGGGCAAUGGGCGAAAGCCUGAUGCAGCCACGCCGCGUGAAUGAAGAAGGUCUUCGGGUUGUAAAAUUCUUUUGUCAGGGAAGCGGUACCCAAAGAGGAAGCACCGGCUAACUCCGUGCCAGCAGCCGCGGUAAUAC
RNAcentral lists this ribosomal RNA (407 nucleotides) under uncultured bacterium. RNAcentral describes it as "partial 16S ribosomal RNA". It matches the Rfam family "Bacterial small subunit ribosomal RNA", at positions 29 to 526 of the family's 1533-position model. The record is from RNAcentral.